Long non-coding RNA from Corvus hawaiiensis (hawaiian crow), 443 nucleotides. RefSeq lists it as uncharacterized. NCBI's taxonomy places the organism in Eukaryota, Metazoa, Chordata, Aves, Passeriformes, Corvidae. The transcript is spliced from 4 exons. The record is from RefSeq and is a predicted model, not a curated record.
GCAGGAGUGGUCAGCAAAUGGAGCACAGGACUCCAUGGGUGGGAAGGAACAUCAGAGGGACACCACAUGCAGCCUCCUCCCAGUCUUAGGGGUUUUGAGAAGACCUGUGGUCUCCUCCAAGGAGGUGAGAAUCUGAGAGGAGCAAUCGGCACUGAGAGAGAGACAAGGAGAGCUGGGAGCUGCGGCAAGACCAAAGUGAAAUAAUCAAGUUGCAGUGAGUGGAAUUCAUCCUUGUUCCUGGACUUACAAUAGAGCUCUGCUGCCUGGGUGACUGCACAAGGGAUUUGGAGAUCAAUCAGGAUCCAAACCAAGCUUCAGCAUCUCAGUUCCUUUCUGCAUUCUGAAAGGAGGAUGGGUAGAAGCAGAAAUAGGAAACAGCAGAAAUCAGACAACACCAUCUGACAAGAACUUUUGUAGAUGUAAACUCAGAUCUGUGAACAUGA